CGGUGGAGCAUGUGGUUUAAUUCGACGCUACGCGAAGAACCUUACCUGGGCUUGAACUGCUGGAGGUAGGAGCCCGAAAGGGUGACGACCCGGAGCAAUCCGGGAACCAGCAGAGGUGCUGCAUGGUUGUCGUCAGCUCGUGUCGUGAGAUGUUGGGUUAAGUCCCGCAACGAGCGCAACCCCUAUUGCCAGUUGCCAGCAUGAAAGAUGGGCACUCUGGCGAGACUGCCGUUGACAAAACGGAGGAAGGUGGGGAUGACGUCAAAUCAUCAUGCCCCUUAUGUCCUGGGCUACACACGUACUACAAUGGCAACAACAGAGGGCAGCCAGGCCGCGAGGUUGAGCGAAUCCCAAAAUGUUGUCUCAGUUCAGAUUGCAGGCUGCAACUCGCCUGCAUGAAGUCGGAAUUGCUAGUAAUGGCAGGUCAGCAUACUGCCGUGAAUACGUUCCCGGGCCUU
RNAcentral lists this ribosomal RNA (458 nucleotides) under uncultured Fastidiosipila sp. RNAcentral's name for it is "bacterial SSU rRNA". It matches the Rfam family "Bacterial small subunit ribosomal RNA", at positions 930 to 1382 of the family's 1533-position model. Lineage: Bacteria; Bacillati; Bacillota; Clostridia; Eubacteriales; Oscillospiraceae. The record is from RNAcentral.